RNAcentral lists this transfer RNA (75 nucleotides) under Polaromonas sp. YR568. RNAcentral's name for it is "tRNA_Ile_GAT". It matches the Rfam family "tRNA". From Rfam's summary of the family: Transfer RNA (tRNA) molecules are approximately 80 nucleotides in length. Their secondary structure includes four short double-helical elements and three loops (D, anti-codon, and T loops). Further hydrogen bonds mediate the characteristic L-shaped molecular structure. tRNAs have two regions of fundamental functional importance: the anti-codon, which is responsible for specific mRNA codon recognition, and the 3' end, to which the tRNAs corresponding amino acid is attached (by aminoacyl-tRNA synthetases). tRNAs cope with the degeneracy of the genetic code in two manners: having more than one tRNA (with a specific anti-codon) for a particular amino acid; and 'wobble' base-pairing, i.e. permitting non-standard base-pairing at the 3rd anti-codon position. The record is from RNAcentral. Lineage: Bacteria; Pseudomonadati; Pseudomonadota; Betaproteobacteria; Burkholderiales; Comamonadaceae.
AGCCGCAUAGCUCAGUGGUAGAGCAGUGCCUUGAUAAGGCACAGGUCGCUGGUUCGAUGCCAGCUGCGGCUACCA